RNAcentral lists this non-coding RNA (168 nucleotides) under uncultured Anaerotignum sp. Its description in RNAcentral is "Lysine riboswitch". It matches the Rfam family "Lysine riboswitch aptamer". Rfam says of the family: Riboswitches are metabolite binding domains within certain messenger RNAs that serve as precision sensors for their corresponding targets. Allosteric rearrangement of mRNA structure is mediated by ligand binding, and this results in modulation of gene expression. The record is from RNAcentral. Lineage: Bacteria; Bacillati; Bacillota; Clostridia; Lachnospirales; Anaerotignaceae.
UCGUAGAGGUGCAUUUUUCAAGAGUACAUAUGUCAAUAUCAUAAGGGAUACAUGCGGCAUAUGGAAAGGGGAACGUGCCGAAGAAAAAGAUUGCCUUAUCUCUCUUUUUCUGGUUGUGCGGUUAAGAGCCGUAUAACUGUCAUUGGAAAAUUCCAAUGGAGCGCUACA